Molecule: transfer RNA, 78 nt
Filed under: Planctomycetota bacterium
Lineage: Bacteria; Pseudomonadati; Planctomycetota
Description: Planctomycetes bacterium (soil metagenome) tRNA-Pro
Rfam family: tRNA
About the family: Transfer RNA (tRNA) molecules are approximately 80 nucleotides in length. Their secondary structure includes four short double-helical elements and three loops (D, anti-codon, and T loops).
Source: RNAcentral
CGGGGCGUAGCUCAGCUUGGCUAGAGCGUUGCGUUCGGGACGCAAAGGUCGCAGGUUCAAAUCCUGUCGCCCCGACCA